AGAGUUUGAUCCUGGCUCAGGAUAAACGCUGGCGGCGUGCCUAACACAUGCAAGUCGAACGUCCUCUCUUGUUCGCAAGAAUGAGAGAGGGAGUGGCGGACGGGUGAGGAACACGUGGGGACCUACCUUGGAGUGAGGAAUACCGGCGAGAAAUCGCCGACAAGACCGCAUACGCUUGGGUGACCAAGCAAAGUUCCUUUCGGGGGACGCUUCAAGAUGGACCUGCGCCCGAUUAGCUGGUUGGUGGGGUAAGAGCCUACCAAGGCGACGAUCGGUAGCUGGUCUGAGAGGAUGAUCAGCCACACUGGGAUUGAGAACGGCCCAGACUCCUACGGGGGGCAGCAGUGAGGAAUUUUCCGCAAUGGAGGCAACUCUGACGGAGCAACGCCGCGUGCAGGAGGACGGUUUUCGGAUCGUAAACUGCUUUUCUUGGGGACGAGAACAAGGACGGUACCCAAGGAAGAAGCCCCGGCUAACUACGUGCCAGCAGCCGCGGUAAUAC
RNAcentral lists this ribosomal RNA (502 nucleotides) under uncultured bacterium. RNAcentral's name for it is "bacterial SSU rRNA". It matches the Rfam family "Bacterial small subunit ribosomal RNA", at positions 8 to 526 of the family's 1533-position model. The record is from RNAcentral.